This 24-nucleotide non-coding RNA is filed under the name Arabidopsis thaliana (thale cress). Lineage: Eukaryota; Viridiplantae; Streptophyta; Magnoliopsida; Brassicales; Brassicaceae. The record is from RNAcentral.
GCACCAAUCAUACACUUCAUCGAC